AUGGCAGGGGAGUGGCAGCCAAGGCUGAGACACAGACAAGCGCAGGGUCCAAGGAGACAGCGGUUCAGCCAGGCCCCUCAGAGGGCAGAUGAGGGCCACAGCACAGCCCACAGGGACCACAGCCCACGGAACCUCAGCCCACAGAACCUCAGCCCACGGAACCACAGCCCACAGAACCACAGCCCACAGAACCACAUCCCAUGGAGGGACCACAGCCCACUGGGACCACUGCCAUGGAGCAAGGAGCCCCACGUGAUCCGUCCCCUGCCCUACUGGCACCGACUCUCCUUGAUCCACUGGGAUGCCCACACUCCAUGGGACACACGGCCACACUGCGGAUGGGCAUUGCCCUCUACACUCAGCCCCACCCAGCGGCCACUUCUGUCCACAUCCUGCUGGCCAGAGGCCCGGGCGUCAGACACCCCCAGACCACCUGCCCCAUGUUUGAGCAGACCCCACCUUCUGCCCUGGGGAUUCCUGGCUGGGUGGUCAACAAGGGGAGUCUGGGGGUUCAGCACCCAACUCUGCUCAGCCAACAUCCCCCUCGGGACUUACCUUGCCCCUGGGGGCCUCGGACACUGGGAGCACGGUGGACAGUUCACACUGAGCUCUCGCCUAGACGGUCCCAACCCAGACACAAAUGCAGGAACUCUUCCUCCUCCAGCGUCCACGGUCACCCAGGAUGCACCACGGCAUCCAGACCCAGCUUCCUGACCCAGCCCUGCCCCUUCCUAGCUCAGGCCAGGGCCCAGGAGACCCCUCCACAUCCCUCACCCCACCCUACCCCGUCACCUCCCUUCCACCCCCACCCCCUCACCUGCCUCCUGCCCCCCUCACCUCCCUCCCAC
Molecule: long non-coding RNA, 848 nt
Filed under: Cercocebus atys (sooty mangabey)
Lineage: Eukaryota; Metazoa; Chordata; Mammalia; Primates; Cercopithecidae
Description: lncRNA (ENSCATG00000045710.1)
Source: RNAcentral